This 427-nucleotide long non-coding RNA is filed under the name Trifolium pratense (red clover). Its description in RNAcentral is "long non-coding RNA (TPRA_LNC004244)". Lineage: Eukaryota; Viridiplantae; Streptophyta; Magnoliopsida; Fabales; Fabaceae. The record is from RNAcentral.
UGCAUGCAAAGCGGUAGAUGUGUUUAAGUUUAGAGCAAAACAACCGAGAUCGGCAGCAUUGCUAUCUCUGAAAAUACCACCGCAAUCAGCCGGCAUAGAGCAACCUUUUGCUGUGUGCCAUCUAUUUUAAAAAAGAAAUAGACAAAAGCAUCGACAUUUAGCCACUCUUAUAUAUCCAAUAUAUUUUCCAUUCAUAGUCGAUGAUGUGAGACUUAACCAUUCACACUUGUGUGAGUCCCCACAUUGUAUAGUUGAUCCAAUAACAUGAUCCACUCCCUCUCCCGCAUCAAGCCAAACCACGACUCUGAUACCUUUUCUUGGGGAGUCUGGGGGAGUGUCGAGAGAAACAACGGGUCAGUGCUCCAGGAUCACAAGAGAGGAAGACGCCAUAUUUCCACCCAAAACCUUAAGGAAUUAGUUUCAUGGA